Molecule: ribosomal RNA, 598 nt
Filed under: Enterococcus faecalis
Lineage: Bacteria; Bacillati; Bacillota; Bacilli; Lactobacillales; Enterococcaceae
Description: bacterial SSU rRNA
Rfam family: Bacterial small subunit ribosomal RNA
Source: RNAcentral
CUAAUACUGCAAGUCGACGCUUCUUUCCUCCCGGUGCUUGCACUCAAUUGGAAAGAGGAGUGGCGGACGGGUGAGUAACACGUGGGUAACCUACCCAUCAGAGGGGGAUAACACUUGGAAACAGGUGCUAAUACCGCAUAACAGUUUAUGCCGCAUGGCAUAAGAGUGAAAGGCGCUUUCGGGUGUCGCUGAUGGAUGGACCCGCGGUGCAUUAGCUAGUUGGUGAGGUAACGGCUCACCAAGGCCACGAUGCAUAGCCGACCUGAGAGGGUGAUCGGCCACACUGGGACUGAGACACGGCCCAGACUCCUACGGGAGGCAGCAGUAGGGAAUCUUCGGCAAUGGACGAAAGUCUGACCGAGCAACGCCGCGUGAGUGAAGAAGGUUUUCGGAUCGUAAAACUCUGUUGUUAGAGAAGAACAAGGACGUUAGUAACUGAACGUCCCCUGACGGUAUCUAACCAGAAAGCCACGGCUAACUACGUGCCAGCAGCCGCGGUAAUACGUAGGUGGCAAGCGUUGUCCGGAUUUAUUGGGCGUAAAGCGAGCGCAGGCGGUUUCUUAAGUCUGAUGUGAAAGCCCCCGGCUCAACCGGGGAG